Molecule: ribosomal RNA, 330 nt
Filed under: uncultured bacterium
Lineage: Bacteria
Description: bacterial SSU rRNA
Rfam family: Bacterial small subunit ribosomal RNA
Source: RNAcentral
UCCGUAGGCGGUGUGGCAAGUCGGAAGUGAAAUCUCUGGGCUUAACUCAGAGGCUGCUUCCGAAACUGCCGUGCUAGAGUGCGAGAGAGGCAAGUGGAAUUGCGGGUGUAGCGGUGAAAUGCGUAGAUAUCCGCAGGAACAUCCGAGGCGAAAGCGGCUUGCUGGAUCGCAACCGACGCUGAGGGACGAAAGCUAGGGGAGCAAACAGGAUUAGAUACCCUGGUAGUCCUAGCCCUAAACCAUCAGGACUUGGGGUUUGCCCUGUACGGGGCAAGUCCCGUAGCUAACGCGUUAAGUCCUGCGCCUGGGGAGUACGGUCGCAAGGCUGAA